Patiria miniata (bat star) is the source of this 1839-nucleotide long non-coding RNA. RefSeq lists it as uncharacterized. NCBI's taxonomy places the organism in Eukaryota, Metazoa, Echinodermata, Asteroidea, Valvatida, Asterinidae. The transcript has 3 exons. The record is from RefSeq and is a predicted model, not a curated record.
GAGGAGGACCGUCGGAUGAACUGAUGACCUGCUUGCUGGGCUUCCCAUUACUGAUUCGUGAGACAUGAGGACCACUGACUGGUGAGGGAAUUGCCCUAUGAUGGAUGAGCCUGCCUCAAGCUGCCAUAAGCUGGGAGGACCGACGGUUGACUGACACUGCCUGCUUGGUUGACCAUUACCAAUUCUUGAGAAGAUGAGGACCGCCAAGCUUGGAUGAGACUGGAAAAUUACGAAGCUGCUCUAUCUGGACAAGGAUGCCCUCAUCAGACACUUUCCAAUUUGCGGAAUAUUGGAUCAAAAAGCAGACUGCAUAUUAUUUUGCAAUAUUAUAAAACAUAAAAACGACGAAAAUACGAAUUCUUACGCCAAAGUUACCGCUGUAAUUGGAAGAAUUAAUAGCUUAAAUCACUGUUACUUGUUAACUGUACUGAGAAACCUAUACCUGAAAUAUAUGUGACAACGAAUAUGACGAAAAUUGAAGAAAAAAGGUCAAAUGUGUGUAAAAUACAUUGCAGUGAAAAUCAAAUCAUGAGCGGAUUUUCUUCUCACAGAAAUGCUUCUCCGCUUCCAACAAGUGGCUGAGAAAUUAUGAAAUUUACGUCGAAAAUAACUGAAAUCAGUGUUGUUUUUACCUUUACUGCGAUACCUACUUGAAAUAUUUGACUAAACGCGUGUGACGAAACGUGGAAACAAAAAUCAAAUCGGUCCAAAUUAAAUUACAACGAAAAUCACAUAGUACGUGGAGUUUCUUCUCGAAGCACGGCACUGUGUUUCCACAGGUAGCUAGGGGAAAAUUACGAAAAUUACACCGAAAAUCAACGCGGCAUAUAAGUGAAGUGAGGAAACAUAGUUUACACGGCUAAAAAAUCACAGCGUUAGUGAGAGAAAUAAUACUUGAUAUCAGUGUUAUUUUUAUUACCUACAAAGUAAAAACAAUUCGAUUGCGGAAGAACCAAAUUAAAGAGACGAAAAUUGCGGUAAAAAGAUUAACAACGGCAGCGAAAGAAAUAAAUAUUUGAAAAUCGGUAAUUUUCUAAACUUGUAGGCCCUAUGCCCGAAAUGAAAAUGACCGAAAUAAUGUUAACAAAAACAUUUCAAAUUAUAAUCGGCAGCCACUUCCGGUACGGUACUACACUGCUUAAAAAAGUCGGAAAGCGAAUUUGGGUAAAAAAGUUUUUAAAAUGACGGAAUUUAAGGAAAAGUCCCAUUAUAUCGAUGUAAAGAAAAUGACUGAAUUUAAAUUAAAGCAGCAUGUUAAAGGCAUUCCCCAAGUUCUAGGCCUACACCACAUCUUUUAAGUAUUAUUCGUCAGCGAAAAAAACUGCAAUUUGUGACAUUGUCAAGAAGUUUGCCUUCAAAAAGGCCAGAAAUAGCCAGGUUUAUGCAUGUGAAAGGGUACAACUUAAGUGUAAUCAACAAAGCGAUAGGGAAAAUGGCUGUAUAAAGACAUGCGACAUAUUUACUAUCGCAUGCGACAUUUCUUCCUGUUUUUGUAAAGGUUUAAACUUAAUCUACAUCAUUUAUGUGAGUCCGAUUUGGAAAGAUCGGCAGGGAUACAUGUUUUCAAGUAUAUAUUUCUCCUUUGAGUUACUCAUUUGGUUGUCUUACUUUGACCUGUGAUAACGUAUAAGGUCGACAGUGCUGUUUUAUUGAAGGGGAGAACACGAAAACCAUAACGGAAAAAAAACGUUGCAGUAGUUAAAGAGAUCGGUCUAAUAUAGUCUUUCACGAUCAAAUCUUUGUGGGCUACGAGUAUACCGUACUUGACGUAAAUUUCAAAAGAAAGCAUUUCAAGAUAUGCGACAGGUUUAGAGUAACAUAGAAAACUACUAUUUCCUU